Molecule: long non-coding RNA, 1362 nt
Filed under: Monodelphis domestica (gray short-tailed opossum)
Lineage: Eukaryota; Metazoa; Chordata; Mammalia; Didelphimorphia; Didelphidae
Description: lncRNA (ENSMODG00000039798.1)
Source: RNAcentral
GGAAGUAUGGUUUGAGAACGAUCAUAGGAAUUUAGAGUUCAUUUGAUCCAUCCUGUACAAGGAUGUUUAAAAACUAAAAUCUUCAGAGUAGGAUAUGUCACUGGUGGUAUAAAAGAAAGAACACUAUACUAGAAGUCACUAAAUCUGCUUUCAAGACCAUUCACUACCAUGUGUCAUAGCAUCAUAAGAUCUUAGAUUUAAAACAGAAGACAACCUUAAAAAUCACCAUAUCAAACACAUGUGUGUGUGUGCGCGCACACGCAAAAUGAAGAAAUGACUAGCUGGUGACUUGAGAAUUUUCUGCCUAGGUAACAAGAAGAAGGAUGGUAAUUUUGAAGAAGUGAGAGAAGACUAGGAAGGAUAGUUGGUUGGAAGGAAGGGUAACAACUACCAUUUUAGACAUUGAGUUCUAGAUGCAAAAAUGCAUAGAGGUUUGCUUUUCUGUCAAGAAUUUGGAGAUGUUUACAUAAAGAACAGAAGAAGGUAAGAUUGAAGAUGUAUAAAAAAUCAAUUUUUUUAGAAGUUUUACAGUCAAAGAAUAUAAAGUUUUUGAGGGAGAGGAAUUAGUUUUCCCAGGACUGGACUUUGGGAUAUACUCAUACUGAAGGAAUGGAAUGAAGAUUUAAAGGUAAUAAUUGACUGAAAAAAAAGCUCAAGAUAUAGAAAGGAUAUCAACCAAAUGUUUUAGAAGUAGAGGCAAUUUAGUGCUGCAGUGAACAAAACACUGGACUUAGUCAGAAGGUCUAGAGUUCAAAUUUGACUUCAGUUAUUUAGUAGUUGUAUAAAGCAAACCCCCAACCUCAUCUACCACAAUUUCUUUGCCUAUAAAAUGAAGACAAUAAUAGUACCUCUCUCCAAAGGUUGUUGUAAGGAUCAAGUGAGAUAAUAUUUAUAAAGCAUUUAGCACAGUUUCUAGUGCCAGGUAGGUAUUAAUAAAUAUUUGUUACUUACCUUCUUUUGUAAUUAUAAAGAGUAAGAAGCCAGGAAAAAGAGGCAAAAAUAUACUUUCUUUCUUUCCAGAGGUUAGAGAUGAUAGCUAUGGAAUAUUGCAGAAACUGAAAGACACACAGGUUGAAGAGUUGAAUAUGAUGUGGGAGAUGAUGGUAAUGACUCAUAUAAAGAUGAGGAAAUUGAGGCUCAUGAAGAUAAAUUGACUUGAGGAAGGUCACCCAGGCUAAGUGGCUAAACUAGGAUUGAAUUCAAAUCUGUGUGACUCCCAAAUCUGUGACUCCCAGUCUAACAUGCCCAGGUCAGUGAUCUUUCUGCUCAUUAUUAGUUUUUCCACAACCUCAAAACUCACAGGGAAAUCAUGGGAAACUUUCUUUCAUGUACCAUUCAAAUAGGUCUUAGACUUUCAAUCAG